GCACUCAUCAGUAACCCAGACCACAUAAAGAGAAGACUGUUCAAGUUUCACACCAACAGCCGAGAGACAAAUGCCCUGUUAUUCUACAUUGCAAAUGAAAAUUCCUACUUCUGUGUUUUCGUGGAGCGAGGUCACCUUGUGCUGCGAGGAAGACAAGGUGGUCGGGAACUCAGAGCUCAGAGCGACGAAAAAGUGUCUCUUUUUAACAAACGUUUCAUAAUCUUACUGGAUGACGACUUCACCGUGGCCUACGAACAAAAGACGAUCUCUACAGACUAUGUUAAAACAAGCUACAGGAGUUUUUAUAUUGGGGGUCUGCCAACGCAACUCAGAGAAAGAGAUAACAUCACAGCUCCACCAUUGAGAGGAUGUGUGGAUAAGCUGAACGCUGAUAGCAGGGAUGUGGAAUAUAGCUGGACCACCGGUGUUAGUGACGGAUGUCCAGAAUCCUUACUAGGUGUUCGUAUGGC
Long non-coding RNA from Lampris incognitus (smalleye Pacific opah), 470 nucleotides. RefSeq lists it as uncharacterized. Lineage: Eukaryota; Metazoa; Chordata; Actinopteri; Lampriformes; Lampridae. The transcript has 5 exons. The record is from RefSeq and is a predicted model, not a curated record.